Non-coding RNA from Ictidomys tridecemlineatus (thirteen-lined ground squirrel), 72 nucleotides. NCBI's taxonomy places the organism in Eukaryota, Metazoa, Chordata, Mammalia, Rodentia, Sciuridae. The record is from Rfam.
UGGGGUGCCGCUCAGUGGCAGAGCACUUGCCUAGCAUGUAUGAGGCCCUGGGUUCCAUCCCCAGCACCACAA